UACGUAGGGGGCAAGCGUUGUCCGGAAUCAUUGGGCGUAAAGCGCGUGUAGGCGGCUUGGUAAGUCUGCUCUGAAAGCCCGGGGCUCAACCCCGGGAGGCGGGUGGAUACUGUCAAGCUCGAGUCCGGAAGAGGAGUGUGGAAUUCCUGGUGUAGCGGUGAAAUGCGCAGAUAUCUGGAGGAACACCGGUGGCGAAGGCGGCAUCCUGGACCAACACUGACACUGAGGAGCGAAAGCGUGGGGAGCAAACAGG
Molecule: ribosomal RNA, 253 nt
Filed under: uncultured bacterium
Lineage: Bacteria
Description: partial 16S ribosomal RNA
Rfam family: Bacterial small subunit ribosomal RNA
Source: RNAcentral